Molecule: ribosomal RNA, 445 nt
Filed under: uncultured bacterium
Lineage: Bacteria
Description: bacterial SSU rRNA
Rfam family: Bacterial small subunit ribosomal RNA
Source: RNAcentral
AACGAACGCUGGCGGCAGGCUUAACACAUGCAAGUCGAAGGUGAAGCUGGGCUUCGGCCCAGUGGAAACUGGCGCACGGGUGAGUAACGCGUGGGAAUCUACCUAGUGGUUCAGAAUAACCGCGGGAAACUGCGGCUAAUACUGAAUAAGCCCUCCGGGGGAAAGAUUUAUCGCCAUUAGAUGAGCCCGCGUCGGAUUAGCUUGUUGGUGAGGUAACGGCUCACCAAGGCGACGAUCCGUAGCUGGUCUGAGAGGAUGAUCAGCCACACUGGGACUGAGACACGGCCCAGACUCCUACGGGAGGCAGCAGUGGGGAAUAUUGGACAAUGGGCGCAAGCCUGAUCCAGCCAUGCCGCGUGAGUGAUGAAGGCCUUAGGGUCGUAAAGCUCUUUCACCGGGGAAGAUAAUGACGGUACCCGGAGAAGAAGCCCCGGCUAACUCCGUG